Molecule: ribosomal RNA, 468 nt
Filed under: uncultured bacterium
Lineage: Bacteria
Description: bacterial SSU rRNA
Rfam family: Bacterial small subunit ribosomal RNA
Source: RNAcentral
GAUGAACGCUGGCGGCGUGCUUAACACAUGCAAGUCGAACGGAGUUAUUCAAUAGCUUGCUAGAGAAUAACUUAGUGGCGGACGGGUGAGUAACGCGUGGGUAACCUGCCGUAUACAGGGGGAUAACACUUAGAAAUAGGUGCUAAUACCGCAUAAGCGCACAGUACCGCAUGGUACGGUGUGAAAAACUCCGGUGGUAUACGAUGGACCCGCGUCUGAUUAGAUAGUUGGUGAGGUAAUGGCCCACCAAGUCGACGAUCAGUAGCCGGCCUGAGAGGGUGAACGGCCACAUUGGGACUGAGACACGGCCCAAACUCCUACGGGAGGCAGCAGUGGGGAAUAUUGGACAAUGGGGGAAACCCUGAUCCAGCGACGCCGCGUGAGUGAAGAAGUAUUUCGGUAUGUAAAGCUCUAUCAGCAGGGAAGAUAAUGACGGUACCUGACUAAGAAGCUCCGGCUAAAUACGUG